This 438-nucleotide ribosomal RNA is filed under the name uncultured bacterium. RNAcentral's name for it is "bacterial SSU rRNA". It matches the Rfam family "Bacterial small subunit ribosomal RNA", at positions 954 to 1392 of the family's 1533-position model. The record is from RNAcentral.
AUGGGAACGCGAAGAACCUUACCUAGACUUGACAUCUUCUGCAUUAAUCGUAAUGGAUGAAAUCCCUUCGGGGACAGAAUGACAGGUGGUGCAUGGUUGUCGUCAGCUCGUGUCGUGAGAUGUUGGGUUAAGUCCCGCAACGAGCGCAACCCCUAUUAUUAGUUGCUAACAUUAAGUUGUGCACUCUAGUGAGACUGCCCGGGUUAACCGGGAGGAAGGUGGGGAUGACGUCAAAUCAUCAUGCCCCUUACUGUCUAGGGCUACACACGUGCUACAAUGGUGGGAACAAAGAGAUGCAAUACCGCAAGGUGGAGCUAAACUCAAAACCCCAUCCCAGUUCGGAUUGUAGGCUGAAACUCGCCUACAUGAAGCUGGAGUUGCUAGUAAUCGCGAAUCAGAAUGUCGCGGUGAAUACGUUCCCGGGUCUUGUACACACCG